CGGUAGUCUGGCUCAGAACGAACGCUGGCGGCGCGCUUAAGCAUGCAAGCGAACGGCGAAGAGGUAGCAAUACCUCCUAGAGUGGCGGACUGGUGAGUAACACGUGGUGACAUACCCUUCAGAUGGGGAUAGCUAUUAGAAAUAGUAGAUAAUACCGAAUACGAGCACAGGGGUUAGAGAUCGUGUGAGGAAAGGAGCUAAGGCUCCGCUGAAGGAAUGGCCUGCGGCCCAUUAGCUAGUUGGUGAGGUAAGAGCCCACCGAAGGCGAUGAUGGGUAUCCGGCCUUAGAGGGUGAACGGACACAUUGGGACUGAGAUACGGCCCAGACUCCUACGGGAGGCAGCAGCUAAGAAUAUUCCGCAAUGGACGAAAGUCUGACGGAGCGACGCCGCGUGGAUGAAAAGGAAGGCCGGAAGGUUGUAAAAUCCUUUUGAAACUGAAGAAUAAGCGUUGUAGGGAAUGACAGCGUGGUGACAGUAGGUUUUGAAUAAGCAACGGCCAAUUACGUGCCAGCAGCUGC
Molecule: ribosomal RNA, 520 nt
Filed under: uncultured bacterium
Lineage: Bacteria
Description: bacterial SSU rRNA
Rfam family: Bacterial small subunit ribosomal RNA
Source: RNAcentral